GACGAACGCUGGCGGCGUGGAUUAGGCAUGCAAGUCGAACGGUAUCAUCCUUUCGGGGGUGAGAGAGUGGCGAACUGGUGAGUAACACGUAGGUUAUCUACCCUCAAGACGGGGACAACCCAGGGAAACUUGGGCUAAUACCGGAUGUGAGCAACUUUUAGUUGUUUGAAAGGUGGCGUAAGCUGUCGCUUGGGGAUGAGCCUGCGUCCUAUUAGUUAGUUGGUGAGGUAACGGCUCACCUAGGCAAUGAUAGGUAGGCGGCCUUAACGGGUGGUCGCCCACACUGGGAUUGAGAUACGGCCCAGACUCCUACGGGAGGCAGCAGUCGAGAAUAGUCUACAAUGGUCGGAAGACUGAUAGUGCGACGCCGCGUGAACGAUGAAUCCCUUCGGGGUGUAAAGUUCUUUUAUAUGUGAGCAGUGCUUCUUAUAUUAACAGUAUGGGGAGAGAGAUAUUAGCAUAUGAAUAAGCAACGGCUAACUCCGUGCCAGCAGCCGCGGUAAUAC
Molecule: ribosomal RNA, 506 nt
Filed under: uncultured bacterium
Lineage: Bacteria
Description: bacterial SSU rRNA
Rfam family: Bacterial small subunit ribosomal RNA
Source: RNAcentral